Non-coding RNA from Lates calcarifer (barramundi perch), 462 nucleotides. Lineage: Eukaryota; Metazoa; Chordata; Actinopteri; Centropomidae. The record is from the annotation of a RefSeq genome assembly.
AUCUGACUGCAGAGAGGAUGACAGAGAACAGUGGACACACAGUUUAACAUGAUGGACUAUAGGACAGGACUGCUGCUUUUAACUCUCUGCUGGACAGGUGUUGAUGGUCAGACUCUGACAGAAUCUGAACCAGUGGUUAAAAGACCUGGAGAAUCCCACACACUGACCUGUACAGCCUCUGGAUUCACAUUCAGCAGCUACAAUAUGAACUGGAUCAGACAGGCUCCUGGAAAAGGGCUGGAGUGGGUUGCUUAUAUCAGUUAUGACAGUAGCAGCAAAUACUACUCUCAGUCAGUCCAAGGCCGGUUUACCAUCUCCAGAGACAACAGCAGACAGCAGCUGUAUCUGCAGAUGAACAGUCUGAAGACUGAAGAUUCUGCUGUUUAUUAUUGUGCUCGAGAGUCACAGUGACUGGAGUUGGUUGAGCAGCUGUACAAAAUCCUACAGUACUCAUCUUUACUG